UCCUCCGGUGCCUACUGAGCUGAUAUCAGUUCUGAUUUUACACACUGGCUCAGUUCAGCAGGAACAGGAGUC
Taeniopygia guttata (zebra finch) is the source of this 72-nucleotide non-coding RNA. Lineage: Eukaryota; Metazoa; Chordata; Aves; Passeriformes; Estrildidae. The record is from Rfam.